This 1045-nucleotide long non-coding RNA is filed under the name Homo sapiens (human). Its description in RNAcentral is "HSALNT0064490". Lineage: Eukaryota; Metazoa; Chordata; Mammalia; Primates; Hominidae. The record is from RNAcentral.
CGCCACCAUGCCAGCUAAUUUUGGUAUUUUUAGUAGAUAUGGGGUUUCACCAUGUUGGUCAGGCUGGUCUUGAACUUCUGACCUCAGGUGAUCUGCCCUCCUCGGCCUCCCAAACUGUUGGAAUUGCAGGCGUGAGCCACCGCAGCCGGCCAAAAAUUUCUGUUUGUUUGGUAUGCGUUCUUUUGCUUCUGAAAGUGUUGGCCAGUAUUUGGCCUGUGCCAAACAGUUCUACCAAUUCGGGGAACAUUUACAUGCUCCAAUUCCUUCUCAACCGUUUUCAAUCUCAUCCCCAAAUACUCUUUUUGGUGAAAUCCUUGUGAAAUUUAAAUUAAUUAGGAUUACUUUACUUGCGGUAUUAAAGUAGGUUAAUUGUAAAACCAAAUAGACUCUCUCCAUCCACCAAAAACUUAUAAAGGAUAUAUAAUAGGACAGUGUUUGCUCUCCUCUAAUGAUUCAGGGACUUAGGCUUCCAUUGUGCAGCCCCACCAUCUAUUCAGCUGCGGUGUCCAAUACAGUAACUACAUUUUAAUUUAAAUUAUAUUGUUAAAUAAUAUUAAAAACUCAAUUCCUCAGUUGUGCUUCAAGUGUUCAUAUGUGGCUAAUGGAUACCACAUGAGAUAGGGCAAAUGUAAAAUAUGUUCACUAUCUCAGAGAGUCCAUUGGACAGCCUUGUCUUCUUGCUGAACCUGGCCAAGGGGGAAAGAGAGAAUGGAGGGGUCAGGCCUUUCACCAGAAAGCUGUGGCCUGGACAUGGCAUACAAUUCUGCUCACAUUUUAUUGGUGGAAGUAAUUCUUUUGAACUUCUAUUCAAGGGGCCCUGGGUGGCAAAAAUUCUAUUCUGUUUACAAUAGAGAGUGAAUUUCAUUUAUAGGCAUUUCUACCACAUUAGAUCAAUUUAAUAAUCCAAAUAUGGCCUAGAGAAAAGCCGUUGGAAAUAGACAGAUUUAGAUUCAAGUUCUGCUUCUGCACGUUCCAAACUGUUUGACCUUGGGUAAUUCAGAUAUCCUGACUUAACCUCCUUGUUUUUAUUUAUUUUUAUUUUUUA